This 117-nucleotide ribosomal RNA is filed under the name Apicomplexa sp. corallicolid ex Leiopathes glaberrima. The record is from RNAcentral. Lineage: Eukaryota; Apicomplexa.
CGGCGGCCACUAGCAAACAUGAACCACUCCAAACCAUUCCGACUUUGGUUGUGAAAAAGUUUUACGGCAAAAGUACUGUUAGUAAGCACUAAUGGGAGAAUAGCAAGGUGCUGGGCG